Molecule: ribosomal RNA, 253 nt
Filed under: uncultured bacterium
Lineage: Bacteria
Description: partial 16S ribosomal RNA
Rfam family: Bacterial small subunit ribosomal RNA
Source: RNAcentral
UACGUAGGGGGCAAGCGUUGUCCGGAAUCAUUGGGCGUAAAGAGCGCGUAGGCGGCCCGGUAAGUCCGUUGUGAAAGUCAAAGGCUCAACCUUUGAACGCCGAUGGAUACUGCCUGGCUAGAGUCCGGAAGAGGCGAGUGGAAUUCCUGGUGUAGCGGUGGAAUGCGCAGAUAUCAGGAGGAACACCAAUAGCGAAGGCAGCUCUCUGGGACGGUACUGACGCUGAGGCGCGAAAGCGUGGGGAGCGAACAGG